UGACACCUGGGUGCUGCUCAGUGCUAUCGUUUCUAUGAUACCUCACUCCACUGAGAGGUAGAUAGACAGAGAGCUUCAGUUUGAGAGAGAAACAGCGCGAGAGAAAGAGAGAGCGAGAGAGAGAGAGAACUGGAGGCUGUGUUCUAACCUGGGUUUGGAUUUUGUGGAUUUGUUUUCAGCAAAAGUAAGAGAAGAGUUGGGCUUCUUUUCUUGGGGUCCAUCCAUUUGCAAUUGUCAUGACUCAUGACUGAAACAGAAAGAGGAAGAGAAUAGGAGUUUACGGUUGUGAAAUUGGAUUUGUCAGAGGGUUGGGUGUAUGUGAUUAGUGAGGCUGUUGCUUAGUGGUGCUUCAUCAAGGGAGGCUCGACUUCAAAGCUGGUUAUCAGAAGUUCUUUAAGGUUUCACAUGCUGCUGUUGUAAGAAAUUGGUCUGCAAGGUCUGAAGAGAAGGAGAAGGUUGAAUCUGUAAAUCAAGAUAAGUGGAAGGGAAUUUUUUAUAGGCAAUUUUUGAAAUUAUGCUCAACUUUAAAUUUUUAGAAAUUUUUUUAUAAGGGUUUUUUUCCGAGAUUGAGGCAAGUGAUUGGUGGUAAACUGUAUUAGGUUUUUGUUUGUAUCUGGGAGUGGUUAGUUUAUGCUGUGAGAGGAGAGUUGGCCUUCAUUUCAAAAAGACUUCAACCAUAUUUGGCCGGAUUUUACACAUCAUUAGAACUCUCAUACAAAGAAAGUAUUAGUAGUUGUAAUGAGUGGUCUUCUUUUGUUUUGUAGAUAUCGGUAACAGCAAGCUAUCAAAAUUUGCAAGUAUUUUGAAUUGAGGAAAAUUUGGGUACAGCAAGAAGGAAGAUCUUGAAUUACUAUUAUUUUACAGUAAUCAGGAAACUGGGAAAAGAGAUGAAAUAGCUUCUGACCUUGACAGUAACACAGCAUAUAAAGAGCAAGCAAAGGCAAAGAUCAUUUUGCCUUACUGGGGAAAGUUAUGGAAGUAAGGGAGAAGUCAGUCAAUGCAACAGAGAAGUCAGCAGAAGAGCAAAAAUCACAAACCUAGAGGU
RNAcentral lists this long non-coding RNA (1045 nucleotides) under Rosa chinensis. Its description in RNAcentral is "sRNA RchiOBHm_Chr1g0332531". Lineage: Eukaryota; Viridiplantae; Streptophyta; Magnoliopsida; Rosales; Rosaceae. The record is from RNAcentral.